Molecule: ribosomal RNA, 99 nt
Filed under: uncultured bacterium
Lineage: Bacteria
Description: partial 16S ribosomal RNA
Source: RNAcentral
CACACCGCCCGUCACACCAUGGGAGUGGGUUGCACCAGAGGUCGUCGAUCGAACCCGCAAGGGACGAAGGCGCCGAAGGUGAGUUCGAUGAUUGGGACU